AUCCGAAAUAAAUAAGAACGUCAAUUUGCUAGGCAAAAGCCUUCAGACUAAGACCUGACAACUUGUCUAUGACAACAACUUGAUGCAUUUUUUGAGUUAGCAAGUGUACGAGAAAAAGAUGAGAAUUAUGAUCAUUUAGAAAUUAUAAUUCAAAAAAAAAAAACAAAGAAAUAAUCAUUUCAGUUUCACGAAACGAUUAUAGAUUAUAUUUAUACUAACAACUUGAGGAUAGGAGAUCGUUUAGCGUUCCAAUAUUUUUUAAUUUGUUACUUGAAAUAGCUAGUUAAUUAUAGAUAGGCAGCUUGAACAUUAAAACAAGUUUUUUACCUACCCUAAAUUGAUUAAUUACCGGCGUAGCAACUGACCCGUUUCACACGAAAACAGAGGGAAUAUAACUUUAUAAAACAUACAAAAAUGUUUUCGCUGAUGGUUUUUUUAUUUAGAAUUUAUAAUUAGAUUUGGUGAAGGCCCGCCCUUUUGAUUAACUGAGUUAAGGUGUAAGUUACAAACUUUAGGUUUUACUAAGAGUUUAUUACUCAUUUUUUUUAAAUAAUAAACAUACAUUGUACUUAAGUUUUUAGUCUUUUAUAGUCUACUAGGCGACUCUUCAAACUUUGUAGCUAUCAACAUUUUUUUUUCGUGAAAUAUAUUUUUUAAUUUUCUUUUAAACAAACUUUGUCCUGACAACAACUAACACUAGAAGAAUAUCCAAUUUGUUGCUUUUCAUCGGCAGUUAUGCGCGUACAUACACUUCGGUGAUUCCUUUUUAUUUGUAUAUAUUUUAUGACUCAAUUAUAAUUACUUAAUAGCGGGCAUUCCUUCGUUUCACUUUAGCUCAGGGACGUCAAUUUUGCAGAGGGCCAUAUAUUUAAUUAUGAAUGUGUAGGCGUGCCAGAUUCAAUUAAAAAACGUAUUAUGCGCAUUUUUAAACCUCAGUAGAGAAAUCGAGUGAAGUCAUGUUUCUUCUUUUUAUGCCUCAUUGCGAUCGCGGGCCGUUUCUUUGACACCCCUGUUUUAGUUGAUAUCUUUGCUUUUGUUUUGCAUAUCCUAGUCUUUAAAGCCAUUUUACUUCUAUAGCAAAUAUUAUAGUUUUCUUGGACAAAAGAUUAUGAUCUUCAAAACUGACUUAAAAUUUAAUAAUUAAAAACAAAUCAUUUGCUAUUUUAUUUAAACAUAUAGAUUAUCAAGCGAACAGAGAUUAACGAGUCCACAUAAACAAACAAGUUCUUUGACUUUUAUUACAUUCAUAAAUCGAUAUUUUGUAUGGUUAUCAAAAGAUAUCAUUCCGAUUAUGUCAUUACAAAGUAUGUAACAAAAUUAAAGUGGUAACAUUGUGUGGACAAAGCUUAAAUUCGUUAUAUAAUCAUUAAAAUUUAUGAUGAAAUAAACCAAUUAAGCAUGUGUAUAUGAGUCAAACUUUAAUUCAAGUGAACGAAACAUAAUAAUCCAUACUCCUUCAUCUUUAUAUGCGUUGGAACUACAAAGUGUGUUGUUAUCAGAGUAAAUGUAAUAUAUUAUUUUCUUUUUAUUUGAAAAUACAUAUUAAAUAUGGAAUAAGUUACUAUUUUUAUAGCUUCUUAUUUAAAUCGCUUACGUUUACAAAUUACACUACGCCAAAAGAGCCAGUCAGGAGGCGGGCAUGUAGCGAUGACCCGGUAAGGAUAAAAAUUCGAUUACAAUUAAAUUAACUGCACUCCUAUUUGUUUUGCAUUAGUCGUGUCAGAUUUAAAUUACAACAU
RNAcentral lists this unclassified non-coding RNA (1739 nucleotides) under Melitaea cinxia (Glanville fritillary). RNAcentral describes it as "misc RNA ENSMCXG00005006488.1". The record is from RNAcentral. Lineage: Eukaryota; Metazoa; Arthropoda; Insecta; Lepidoptera; Nymphalidae.